AGUGAAGAUGAGGAUCCAAAGCACUGGGCACUGACAAAAAAAUAAUGUUAUGAGUGACAUGCUGUUAGUGGGCCUAGAAAACCCACGCUACUGAUUCAUU
RNAcentral lists this small nucleolar RNA (100 nucleotides) under Zygosaccharomyces rouxii. Lineage: Eukaryota; Fungi; Ascomycota; Saccharomycetes; Saccharomycetales; Saccharomycetaceae. The record is from RNAcentral.